CUCCCGGAAUUGACACCUGCCCGCGCGGAGUUCCUCACGGAAAUGUUGAGUUAUUCCGCCGCCUGCAGGGCCGCCGGACGCUUCUGCUUCGGCGCGAUCCAGAACAUGGCAGGCCGCUCGAACAGGAAAUUGAGCCCGGCGCGUUUGGCGCCCCACCACAUCAGGAGCGCACCGACCACACCCGCAAUGGUGUCGAUCAGCGAGACAAGGCCGAUGUCGGGGAUGAUGCCGGUCUUGAGCAGCACCAC
Molecule: unclassified non-coding RNA, 248 nt
Filed under: Hevea brasiliensis (rubber tree)
Lineage: Eukaryota; Viridiplantae; Streptophyta; Magnoliopsida; Malpighiales; Euphorbiaceae
Source: RNAcentral